RNAcentral lists this non-coding RNA (10853 nucleotides) under Cordylochernes scorpioides. The record is from RNAcentral. Lineage: Eukaryota; Metazoa; Arthropoda; Arachnida; Pseudoscorpiones; Chernetidae.
UCAUUUUGUCCUUUGAUAUCUGUAAUUUGCUGUUUUCACACCAGGUAUUAAUUUUACUAAGUACAUUGUUAAUUUUUGUCUUUAGUUCGUCAUGGCUUUUAUAGAGACGACCAGAUAGAUACGCAGUACUGAGGCAGGAUGGUAGUGCUAGAAUGACAAGACCCAUGUCCAUUUGAGAAGCAGCCACUGACUAGUGAUUCUACAGCAGGGAACAUUUUAAAAGCCAUAAGCUUUCUGGAUUUACCUCAAGACUCCAGGGAGUAUGCAUUCCUCGAAAUAAUAGCUCUUUGAGAAGGAGAAAAACUUGCUUGAUGCAUAACUCUCAUUGACAUUAAUUUCAUGACCAAACCGCCCUGUCACAUCUGAGACCUUCUUCUCAAGGAACUCAGUAAACUCCUCAAAUGUUGCACACCCAACUGAGCUAGGGUCUUCUUUGAUAUUUUUUAGGGGGUUAAGAAGCAAGGAAGAUGAAAUAUCUGUUUCAAAAAUAGCGUGACAACACUGGGUCUUACUGAUGAAUGUGCGGACUAGCUUGCCAUCAAUUGUGUUAUUGUCCAAAGAGGAGAAGAGUUGAGAUAACUCGUCUUCUUUAUAGAUGUCUGGGAUGUUGGUGUAUCUGUGUUUGAGGUAAUGUAACCUGUAUGUCAGUAUUCUUGGUGGCAGCCUCCAAUUUUGUCUGUCAAGGUUAAGUUUACUAUUUGUGUGCAUAAUUAUCUUGUCUCGGGACACCUUGGUUGUGCAUGAUGGGGAUACUUGGGGAAUUGGAUGGAACUAGGGCGUGCAAACGGGAGGAUAGGGGGGAUUGGCAGCGGUCGUUUUGACUGAGGGCAAUGUUAUGAUUGAACUGACAAGUUGAUCCGGCAACACGGCAGACUCGAUUGAAAACAUAGGAUAUGUAAAUAACAAUGAUAUAAAAAGGACAUAUGUAAAAUAAAUAAAGAAUUGAGUUCAGUUUCUUGCUUGUCGGUCACUGUUGCCGGAGCCCAUUUUCUAUGCUUUGCUGCAACAUGAUGUUGUCUCCUACUUCCAAAGGUCUCAAAAUUCUCUUUGGACUUCCUGCAUACUUUUGUUGAUGGUCUCUCAAUUUUUGGUAAUUUUUUGUUGUGUCAAACAGUGGUUUUAACUGUUGUCAAAUGUAUGUCGAAAGAGUUCUCACAGAUCUUCCCAUAAGCAUUUGGGUCGGAGUUGGCAAGUCAUACUUAGGUGUGUUGUUGAACUCCAUCAAAGCCAGAUUGGGAUCUCUUCCUGACUUCACAGCUUUAAUUAUCAGUCCUUUGAUGGUUUGAAUUGUCCUCUCAACUUGUCCAUUAGAUCUUGGAUAUUUGGGACACUGGAGGUUUGGUGUUUGAAUUCAUAUUUCUGAGCAAAUUUUUGAAUCCAGUAGACUUAAAAGGGGGUCCAUUAUCCGAAACUAGAGUUCUUGUAAUUCCAUGAAUCCUGAAAAUGGUCUUCAACUGCAUGAUGGUUUUGGUUUCUCUUUUGCUUGAUAAUUUCCGGAUUUCAACAAACUUUGAGUGGUAAUUGACAACCAAGAUGGAACUGGUUCCACUCACCUCCAUGAAAUAUACAGCAAUUUUUUCCUGCAAAGCCUUGUCUUGUAUUCCAUACACAAUGCGAUCUCUAAUUAAACUAUCCUUUUGUGAUUCAAAUUCACAUGAUGUGGAUAAUCCUUUUAGUUCUGUUAUAAAACUAUCGAUGGAUUCACCAUCCUUCUGUGUCCCUGAAAAAAAUUUGAAUCUUUCAAAAAUGAUGUUCUUUUUAGGCUCGCAAAAAUCAUUAAAUUUUUUAUUACUAGAUCAAAAUUUUCUGCUUCAUCUUCUUUUAAAUGAAAUGUGUUGAAAACUUCCAAGGCUUCUUCGCCAAUAAAAUUUAAUAAAAUGGCAACUUUCAGUUUAUCAGGCUUUGUGGCUUUUUCUGUUGCUUCAAGAUAAAGCAUUAAUCGCUGUUUGAAAUUCGCCAAUUUUCCGCUACACAUUACCGUGCAAGGCAAGUUCGCUAGGCCUAACAAAGUCCAUGUUUUCUUUUUUUUUUUUCACUAAUAUUUGUCAAUAAUAUAUUUAUUUGAAAAAGUACUUACUUUUCUGCUGUCACCAUGUUGUUUGUUGUUUUUUAACAACAUAAACAACAGGUAAGGUGAAAGGGGUUACAUUUUGUAUUGAAAUGUUUGGGUUUGGAGCGUGGGCGGUUAUUAUGGGUGGGUAGGGUUUGAGCAGGUGAAUGGGUGGGUGGUGGCAGAAGUAUUGGGAAUAUGAGGGGAGGGUGGCGAGAGGGCUGUGGGAAGUUGCUGAGUAGGAGGAUGAGAGGGAGAGUUUUGGGUAUUGUUAGGAGGAUUGGAUGAAGUGUGUGGGGUGGAAAUGUUCUCAGUGGCAGUAACUGAAGGACUUUCGGUGGUGGAGCUACUAAGUAUGUUAUUAAAAUGUUUGUUAAUCAAACCUUGGUAGGUGUCCGUAAUGAAUUUGAGCUGGUUGUUUUUGUGUCCAAGUAAGGCUUUAAAAUUAGGGAUAAUACCAUCGUUUGGUUGCUCAGUCAUGGUAGGGUCACAUUUAUUAGAUUUAUGGGUGUCAAUUAGGGUCCUCUGUGUGUCAUUAGCCCAUUGGAGACAAAUGGAGUCAGAGGAGGACAACAGAUGCGAAAGCAGGGUAAUAUGGAAAGGGACGUUUCUUAUAAAUUAAUAGGGGGGUACUGCGUCCGGAAUUCUUAUCAGGGGGGAAACGACUCACCAAUGAUGGAGUUGUAGAAUUAUCCGUAGACCAGGGAGGCAGUGGGGAGGUUUCUUGGUGGGCUUGUGUGCCGGGCAUCUGGGAAGAAGGCGGCGGAGUGAUGGAAGGGUCGUGGCCAGGGUGAGGUGAUAGGUUCUGGAGGGCAUCCAUCCUGCCCAGGAUUGGGUUGAGGAUGCUAGAGGAAUUUGAAAGAUUAGGAGGGGCUAAUGGGCUAUGAUUACCACUUCUCAGGUGCAUAUGGGGCUAUUUGUAGCCGUUGCGGCUGCCCAGAAGAGCUCAAGAUUAUUGGUGAGGCAGCAAGGUUCUGUGCAUUUGCUUUUUGGGCAGGAAAGUUAUCGAUCAAAGAUAAAAUAAAAUAAUUAAUUUAUUAGUUUUUAUCAAUAUCAAAAAGAUAUUCGAAAACUUCAGGUUGACACAGCAAUUUUGGGGGGGAAAUGGCGGAAAAUAAGGAAGGGUGAAAGGAGGAUAUAUAUAGCCGAGCAUCUGGCUUUAAGAAGACACCAGAAGGUACAUGGCCUCCGAGGAUGAUGCCUGCUACCAGUCUGAUCCAUUUGUAUAUGCUGUUAAAUAAUUUCUCUGAUCGUAUAAACCAAUUGUGUCAAGUCCUUUCUUUUUGAGUAUGUUUUUGUUCUCUUUUUUAUUGCAGGGUUCAUUCAGGUUAAGAUUGAUGAUUACAUUUGAUGCAAUGGGGUAGGAAAUAUUGGUUCUCAUUGAAUUGGAAAGUCCUUGUGACAAAAGUUACUAUUACGGGUUAACACACAAAGUUGCAAUAAUCUAGGGCCUAGAGUAAUGGUAACUAAACACACAAAAAUCGCACACUCAAAAAAAAAAAAAAAGAUAAAUAAUAAAUCACAAUUUGUUAGAUAAAAUAAAAAAAAAACACACACACACAGUACUUAUCUUUAUUGUUUUUUUUUUUUUAUAAUCAAAGUAAGUAUUUAUUUACUUCAACAAAACAUUGUAGUUUUACGGCCUAAAUGUGUAAAUAAAGACUGUUAAAUUUUCAGCUUUCUUUUAACUAAAAUAUCUCCAUAAAUAAAAACAAAUAUAUUGAAGAAGGUACAAAGUGACAUGGAUGGAUUCAGAUGUGGCCCCUUGAUGCUCCUCCGGGUUAAUGAAGGGAACGAGGAUUUCCCGCUCGAUGCCGUCGUCCCCAAUAUACUUUAACGUAAUGAAUUGCUGACGAUCCUGUGUGGUCACCACACGGUCCAACACCACUAUUUUGCUGGGGUCGAUGCGUUGGUUGCCUUGUUGCAUUGGUAGAGAUUGGACCGGGGUUACACAGGUAUGCGAGGAGAUAGCUAGACACGGAUAAAGCACGUGGAGAACACUUUAAGCGUCUCCACACGAUAAUCCACCACACUUCUUUCUCGCAAUUCCAUAGCCCCCUUAUAUAUACAGACAUGGCCACAUUCGUCCAAUGAGAAGGUGGGAGAGAUUGGUCCACUAUCAAACAAAAACAAAAUCUUUCCCACUAAAACCUGAGAUAAGAUUAAAAACAUGCAAAUAUUUGUCAAUAUAAUUUGACACUUGUGUUUCAUAUUUAUGCCCUUUCUAAUAUUGUUGUCGUAUUGAAGUGUUGAAGAUCUUUUGAGUCUUUCUUUUUGUGUCCAGUUUAAAUAGGUUGGUUCUAUGGGAUAUGUGUUCAGUUUCUUUACUUUUUAAGCUAUUGGUGAGUUUUAAUGUUUUUAAUUGUCCUCUGCUUUCGAGUAGGACUAGGCCACAUUCUCUCUGAAUUUUCUCAUUGUUGAUGGAUGAAACAGCACCAGUGAUUAUUUUGGCCGCUUUUGCUUGAACACUGUCUAGUCUUCCUUUUAGUGAUGAACUUGAAUAGUGCUAAGAUUUUGCGAGGUUCGCCUCUGAGUGAUGUAGAGCCUUUUGAACUUGGCGUGUUGGCUCUAAUUUGAGGAAGCUUGGCUGAACUUCAAGUUGUUAGAAUAAGUGUGUGGAAGGUUCAUCUCUCCAAAUUAUUAUCUCUCUGAUAUUUUUGAGGAGGUGAAAAAACAUUUGAAAUUAUUGAAAUUAUUCUUCAUAGUAUUCCUUAAUUUUCUUUCAUUAUAGUUAGCAAUUUCUUUAAUGCUUGAUAAAUUAAAUCUAUUGUAGUCUAUUUCAUUUUUCAAUAUGUUGGAUUCUAUGUAAUCUGUGUGUCAAACAAUAUGGUUUCCAUUUAUAAGCAAGAAAGCCAAACUAAAUUCCCUGCAAUAUAAUAUUCUAAAACACUGCAUACAGGCCUAUACCGCAACAUCGUCAAACUGUACACAUAUACUAACACAAAUACCAAAUUAUACCAAAUUUUUGUCUGCAUUCUAGACCCCAUGCUUUCUUUAUUAAACUGAGUAGGUAACUGCUAGCUCUAGUAGUUUUGUCGACGACUUCAUUAAUGUGUGACAUGAAGUCCAACUUGUUCCUGCUUUGAUGAUUUUUCAAGGUAAAUCCCAAGAUCUUAAGGGUUUCGACAGGUCUAGCUAUAAUGCUACUAAAUGGUAGUGCUAGAAUGACAAGACCCAUGUCCAUUUGAGAAGCAGCCACUGACUAGUGAUUCUACAGCAGGGAACAUUUGAAAAGCCAUAAGCUUUCUGGAUUUUCCUCAAGACUCCAGGGAGUAUGCAUUCCUCGAAAUAAUAGCUCUUUGAGAAGGAGAAAAACUCGCUUGAUGCAUAACUCUCAUUGACAUUAAUUUCAUGACCAAACCGCCCUGUCACAUCUGAGACCUUCUUCUCAAGGAACUCGGUAAACUCCUCAAAUGUUGCACACCCAACUGAGCUAGGGUCUUCUUUGAUAUUUUUUAGGGGGUUAAGAAGCGAGGAAGAUGAAAUAUCUGUUUCAAAAAUAGCGUGACAACUCUGGGUCUUACUGAUGAAUGUGCGUACUAGCUUGCCAUCAAUUGUGUUAUUGUCCAAAGAGGAGAAGAGUUGAGAUAACUCGUCUUCUUUAUAGAUGUCUGGGAUGUUGGUGUAUCUGUGUUUGAGGUAAUGUAACCUGUAUGUCAGUAUUCUUGGUGGCAGCCUCCAAUUUUGUCUGUCAAGGUUAAGUUUACUAUUUGUGUGCAUAAUUAUUUUGUCUCGGGAUACCUUGGUUGUGCAUGAUGGGGAUACUUGGGGAAUUGGAUGGAACUAGGGCGUGCAAACGGGAGGAUAGGGGGGAUUGGCAGCGGUCGUUUUGACUGAGGGCAAUGUUAUGAUUGAACUGACAAGUUGAUCCGGCAACACGGCAGACUCGAUUGAAAACAUAGGAUAUGUAAAUAACAAUGAUAUAAAAAGGACAUAUGUAAAAUAAAUAAAGAAUUGAGUUCAGUUUCUUGCUAGGCGGUCACUGUUGCCGGAACCCAUUUUCUAUGCUUUUCCUGCAACAUGAUGUUGUCUCCUACUUCCAAAGGUCUCAAAAUUCUCUUUGGACUUCCUGCAUACUUUUGUUGAUGGUCUCUCAAUUUUUGGUAAUUUUUUGUUGUGUCAAACAGUGGUUUUAACUGUUGUCAAAUGUAUGUCGAAAGAGUUCUCACAGAUCUUUCCAUAAGCAUUUGGGUCGGAGUUGGCAAGUCAUACUUAGGUGUGUUGUUGAACUCCAUCAAAGCCAGAUUGGGAUCUCUUCCUGACUUCACAGCUUUAAUUAUCAGUCCUUUGAUGGUUUGAAUUGUCCUCUCAACUUGUCCAUUAGAUCUUGGAUAUUUGGGACACUGGAGGUUUGGUGUUUGAAUUCAUAUUUCUGAGCAAAUUUUUGAAUCCAGUAAAGUUAAAAGGGGGUCCAUUAUCCGAAACUAGAGUUCUUGGAAUUCCAUGAAUCCUGAAAAUGGUCUUCAACUGCAUGAUGGUUUUGGUUUCUCUUUUGCUUGAUAAUUUCCGGAUUUCAACAAACUUUGAGUGGUAAUUGACAACCAAGAUGGAACUGGUUCCACUCACCUCCAUGAAAUAUACAGCAAUUUUUUCCUGCAAAGCCUUGUCUUGUAUUCCAUACACAAUGCGAUCUCUAAUUAAACUAUCCUUUUGUGAUUCAAAUUCACAUGAUGUGGAUAAUCCUUUUAGUUCUGUUAUAAAACUAUCGAUGGAUUCACCAUCCUUCUGUGUCCCUGAAAAAAAUUUGAAUCUUUCAAAAAUGAUGUUCUUUUUAGGCUCGCAAAAAUCAUUAAAUUUGUUUAUUACUAGAUCAAAAUUUUCUGCUUCAUCUUCUUUUAAAUGAAAUGUGUUGAAAACUUCCAAGGCUUCUUCGCCAAUAAAAUUUAAUAAAAUGGCAACUUUCAGUUUAUCAGGCUUUGUGGCUUUUUCUGUUGCUUCAAGAUAAAGCAUUAAUCGCUGUUUGAAAUUCGCCAAUUUUCCGCUACACAUUACCGUGCAAGGCAAGUUCGCUAGGCCUAACAAAGUCCAUGUUUUCUUUUUUUUUUUCACUAAUAUUUGUCAAUAAUAUAUUUAUUUGAAAAAGUACUUACUUUUCUGCUGUCACCAUGUUGUUUGUUGUUUUUUAACAACAUAAACAACAGGUAAGGUGAAAGGGGUUACAUUUUGUAUCAAAAUGUUUGGGUUUGGAGCGUGGGCGGUUAUUAUGGGUGGGUAGGGUUUGAGCAGGUGAAUGGGUGGGUGGUGGCAGAAGUAUUGGGAAUAUGAGGGGAGGGUGGCGAGAGGGCUGUGGGAAGUUGCUGAGUAGGAGGAUGAGAGGGAGAGUUUUGGGUAUUGUUAGGAGGAUUGGAUGAGGUGUGUGGGGUGGAAAUGUUCUCAGUGGCAGUAACUGAAGGACUUUCGGUGGUGGAACUACUAAGUAUGUUAUUAAAAUGUUUGUUAAUCAAACCUUGGUAGGUGUCCGUAAUGAAUUUGAGCUGGUUGUUUUUGUGUCCAAGUAAGGCUUUAAAAUUAGGGAUAAUACCAUCGUUUGGUUGCUCAGUCAUGGUAGGGUCACAUUUAUUAGAUUUAUGGGUGUCAAUUAGGGUCCUCUGUGUGUCAUUAGCCCAUUGGAGACAAAUGGAGUCAGAGGAGGACAACAGAUACGAAAGCAGGGUAAUAUGGAAAGGGACGUUUCUUAUAAAUUAAUAGGGGGGUACUGCGUCCGGAAUUCUUAUCAGGGGGGAAACGACUCACCAAUGAUGGAGUUGUAGAAUUAUCCGUAGACCGGGGAGGCAGUGGGGAGGUUUCUUGGUGGGCUUGUGUGCCGGGCAUCUGGGAAGAAGGCGGCGGAGUGAUGGAAGGGUUGUGGCCAGGGUGAGGUGAUAGGUUCUGGAGGGCAUCUAUCCUGCCCAGGAUUGGGUUGAGGAUGGUAGAGGAAUUUGAAAGAUUAGGAGGGGCUAAUGGGCUAUGAUUACCACUUCUCAGGUGCAUAUGGGGCUAUUUGUAGCCGUUGCGGCUGCCCAGAAGAGCUCAAGAUUAUUGGUGAGGCAGCAAGGUUCUGUGCACUUGCUUUUUGAGCAGGAAAGUUAUCGAUCAAAGAUAAGAUAAAAUAAUUCAUUUAUUAGUUUUUAUCAAUAUCAAAAAGAUAUUCGAAAACUUCAGGUUGACACAGCAAUUUUGUGGGGGGGAAAUGGCGGAAAAUAAGGAAGGGUGAAAGGAGGAUAUAUAUAGCCGAGCAUCUGGCUUUAAGAAGACACCAGAAGGAACAUGGCCUCCGAGGAUGAUGCCUGCUACCAGUCUGAUCCAUCUGUAUAUGCUGUUAAAUAAUUUCUCUGAUCGUAUAAACCAAUUGUGUCAAGUCCUUUCUUUUUGAGUAUGUUUUUGUUCUCUUUUUUAUUGCAGGGUUCAUUCAGGUUAAGAUUGAUGAGUACAUUUGAUGGCAAUGGGGUAGGAAAUAUUGGUUCUUAUUGAAUUGGAAACUCCUUUACACAAAAGUUACUAUUACAGGUUAACACAUAAAGUUGCAAUAAUCUAGGGCCUAGAGUAAUAGUAACUAAACACACAAAAAUCGCACUCAAAAAAAAAAAAAAGAUAAAUAAUAAAUCACAAUUUGUUAGAUAAAAUAAAAAAAAAAAACACACACACACACAGUACUUAUCUUUAUUGUUUUUUUUUUUUUAUAAUCAAAGUAAGUAUUUAUUUACUUCAACAAAACAUUGUAGUUUUACGGCCUGAAUGUGUAAAUAAAGGCUGUUAAAUUUUCAGCUUUCUUCUAACCAAAAUAUCUCUAUAAAUAAAAACAAAUAUAUUGAAGAAGGUACAAAGUGACAUGGAUGGAUUCACAUGUGGCCCCUUGAUGCUCCUCCGGGUUAAUGAAGGGAACGAGGAUUUCCCGCUCGAUGCCGUCGUCCCCAAUAUACUUUAACGUAAUGAAUUGCUGACGAUCCUGUGUGGUCACCACAUGGUCCAACACCACUAUUUUGCUGGGGUCGAUGCGUUGGUUGCCUUGUUGCAUUGGUAGAGAUUGGACCGGGGUUACACAGGUAUGCGAGGAGAUAGCUAGACACGGAUAAAGCACGUGGAGAACACUUUAAGCGUCUCCACACGAUAAUCCACCACACUUCUUUCUCGCAAUUCCAUAGCCCCCUUAUAUAUACAGACAUGGCCACAUUCGUCCAAUGAGAAGGUGGGAGAGAUUGGUCCACUAUCAAACAAAAACAAAAUCUUUCCCACUAAAACCUGAGAUAAGAUUAAAAACAUGCAAAUAUUUGUCAAUAUAAUUUGACACUUGUGUUUCAUAUUUAUGCCCUUUCUAAUAUUGUUGUCGUAUUGAAGUGUUGAAGAUCUUUUGAGUCUUUCUUUUUGUGUCCAGUUUAAAUAGGUUGGUUCUAUGGGAUAUGUGUUCAGUUUCUUUACUUUUUAAGCUAUUGGUGAGUUUUAAUGUUUUUAAUUGUCCUCUGCUUUCGAGUAGGACUAGGCCACAUUCUCUCUGAAUUUUCUCAUUGUUGUUGGAUGAAACAGCACCAGUGAUUAUUUUGGCCGCUUUUGCUUGAACACUGUCUAGUCUUCCUUUUAGUGAUGAACUUGAAUAGUGCUAAGAUUUUGCGAGGUUCGCCUCUGAGUGAUGUAGAGCCUUUUGAACUUGGCGUGUUGGCUCUAAUUUGAGGAAGCUUGGCUGAACUUCAAGUUGUGAGAAUAAGUGUAUGGGAGGUUCAUCUCCGUUGUAGCUGAUCACUUCUUCUGAAUCACGGUUUGAAAGUUGAUAAAGGCAGAAGGUGAGGACUCGAAGAGAUGCAGCUACAGUUGAGUCUGUUGUUGAGUCUUGAGGAACUUGGACGUGGGUUUGUCAAAACAUCCAGGUCUUCUUGUUUUCUUCAUACUUUAGUAGAUAUGGGAAUUGUUGUAGUUCAAGAGAAUAUUUACCCUUUUAUAAUAUGACUCUUAAUUUUUAUUUUGCAAUAAAUGCAAUAAUUUUUUAAGAAAAAAAAAGGCUUGCACAAUUUAAGCCUUAUCAUGAUUCUAUUAUCUAUCUUCAGACAACACUCAACUCACUAAAAGCUAUAUACAUAUAAAGUAUACAAAACUUUCCUAUAACAAUUAUAUUUACAUACAUUCAACUUUUCUUAACUAAUAUAUUUACAUAUUUCCCAUUAACCUUAUUAAGAUGAUCAUAUACAACAUUCAGCCCCAUGAUCAUCAUUCUUUACACCAAUAUUUACAUAUACCUAAUAACACAAGUAGUGGUGGGACCCUUCUCUGCUCAUCUGAAGUCUUAGAGGAUUCCUUACUUCACAAAUAAUUUCUCAAGGAAAUAAUUCAGUCUUAUAAUUAGGAAGUCGGGGCAAAUUGUUCAGUUUGAAAUUGUUUACAAGUUCUUUUGUUUCGCUUGCCCUCAUUCCACUCGUAGCAUCUUCAUAGCCCUGUCGUCGGCAUCCCAUUGGCUGCCUUGAACUCCUUCUUUUCCGACAGUGUUAAUUGUAGGAAAGGUUCACCCGAUCUGAGAGGAAUGUGGCGUUUAUUUUGGAUCCUUGAAAAGGUUUGCGGAAACCUUAAUUUGGGGAGUGUAUGUGCCUGAUUUGAUUAUACGAGGGUGAGUCAAUAAGUUUUAGGAAAGUGUCCACAAAAAAAAAAAAAAAGAAAGGGGGGAACUUACUUUAUAGAAAAAAAAUUCUACACCAAUCACUGUCCUUUUCAAUGCAUAUAUCCAUUUUUUAACUUGCUUGUCAAAUCCCUGAGAAAAGAAGAUUUGUGGUUGUUCCCUACACCAUUCUUUGGCAUAAUUUCCACCUCCAAAUUUGUCAAGAAUCUUUGUCCACGUUGAGCA